CCUACGGGCGGCAGCAGUGAGGAAUAUUGGUCAAUGGACGCAAGUCUGAACCAGCCAAGUAGCGUGCAGGAUGACGGCCCUCCGGGUUGUAAACUGCUUUUAGUUGGGAAUAAAAGGGGGCUCGUGAGCCCCGUAUUGUAUGUACCAUCAGAAAAAGGACCGGCUAAUUCCGUGCCCGCAGCCGGUGUAAUACGGAAGGUCCGGGCGUUAUCGGGUUUUAUUGGGUUUAAAGGGAGCGUAGGGCGGCUUUUAAGUCAGCUGGUAAAGUCGGCGGCUCAACCGUGGAAUUGCAGUUGAAAAUGGAGGCCUUGAGUGGACACAGGGAGGCCGGAAUUCGUGGUGUAGCGGUGAAAUGCUUAGAUAUCAUGAAGAACUCCGAUCGCGAAGGCAGGUGUCCGGGGUGCAACUGACGCUGAGGCUCGAAAGUGCGGGUAUCAAACAGGAUUAGAUACCCGGGUAGUC
RNAcentral lists this ribosomal RNA (462 nucleotides) under uncultured bacterium. Its description in RNAcentral is "partial 16S ribosomal RNA". It matches the Rfam family "Bacterial small subunit ribosomal RNA", at positions 338 to 795 of the family's 1533-position model. The record is from RNAcentral.